Molecule: ribosomal RNA, 440 nt
Filed under: uncultured bacterium
Lineage: Bacteria
Description: partial 16S ribosomal RNA
Rfam family: Bacterial small subunit ribosomal RNA
Source: RNAcentral
CCUACGGGUGGCAGCAGUGGGGAAUAUUGGACAAUGGGGGGAACCCUGAUCCAGCGACGCCGCGUGAGUGAAGAAGUAUUUCGGUAUGUAAAGCUCUAUCAGCAGGGAAGAAAAUGACGGUACCUGACUAAGAAGCCCCGGCUAACUACGUGCCAGCAGCCGCGGUAAUACGUAGGGGGCAAGCGUUAUCCGGAUUUACUGGGUGUAAAGGGAGCGUAGACGGUGCAGCAAGUCUGAUGUGAAAGGUCGGGGCCCAACCCCGGGACUGCAUUGGAAACUGUUGAACUGGAGUACAGGAGAGGUAAGCGGAAUUCCUAGUGUAGCGGUGAAAUGCGUAGAUAUCUGGAGGAACAUCAGUGGCGAAGGCGACUAUCUGGCACAUAACUGACGCUGAGGAGCGAAAGCGUGGGUAGCAAACAGGAUUAGAUACCCCUGUAGUC